CAGAGUUCAUGCCCUUACGGGUAGAUCUCCCACCCUUGAAUACUAUACCUUUGUUGCUUUGGCGGGCCGCCUCGGCUACCGGCUUCGGCUGGUAAGUGCCCGCCAGAGGACCCCUAAACUCUGAAUGUUAAUGUCGUCUGAGUACUAUAUAAUAGUUA
RNAcentral lists this unclassified non-coding RNA (158 nucleotides) under uncultured Helotiales. Its description in RNAcentral is "sequence contains ITS1". Lineage: Eukaryota; Fungi; Ascomycota; Leotiomycetes; Helotiales. The record is from RNAcentral.